GUGCUUGCUUCAGCAGCGCAUAUACUAAAAUUGGAAUGAUACAGAGAAGAUUAGCAUGGCUCCUGCACAAGGAUGACAUGCAACUUUGUGAAGCAUUCCAUAUUUUU
Choloepus hoffmanni (Hoffmann's two-fingered sloth) is the source of this 107-nucleotide small nuclear RNA. The record is from Ensembl. NCBI's taxonomy places the organism in Eukaryota, Metazoa, Chordata, Mammalia, Pilosa, Megalonychidae.